Molecule: long non-coding RNA, 537 nt
Organism: Orbicella faveolata
Lineage: Eukaryota; Metazoa; Cnidaria; Anthozoa; Scleractinia; Merulinidae
Source: RefSeq, a predicted model, not a curated record
AAGUUCUAAUUCGUAGAUAGAAGGCGACACUCGCCUAUAUAAACCUCUAAGUCGACCAACCUUGAACAAUCAAACACAGCUAUUGAUCUUAACGUUUUCCAAGACCAGAGAAAAGCAAAGAAGGAUGAGAAAAGGAGGCACCUUUAGAUUUUUUGUGCUAGCGGUUCUGUUUUCCGCCCUUGUGGUCCUCGGACCAUGCGAAGGAUUUAACGGGGGUACUGGGAACUGGGAUACAAGACGAAUGGCAAAUAAACGUGCACUGGAUAGCAUGUGCAGAGUGGCGAGGGAACAUUGCAAACGGGAGAUCUUACAAGACGAUGACUUCGCUAUUCCUGGUCCUCGUCCAGUCCAGUGAAAGGAAAACACGGUGCAGUCAAGAUUACAGACACAAGAUCUUAAAAGAAACAUCAACCCAACUGUUAUUAUUAAUAAUCUUUACACUGAUGACAACGUAACUUGACAAACUCGUAAAUGACAUAGUUUGAACUUAUACAUAGAAGUCACUAUUACAAUAAAGAUCAGAGCAAAGCAACACAA